UUAUUUUUCGAGUAUUUAUUGCUUAUUUAAUCUAUUUUGAGCGAUCUGCAUUAUCUAUCGUCUUAUCAAGAUGUGUGAUGCUCUACUUUAACCAUUACAAAUCCUUUGAUCCCAAAAAUAAUUCUUAGGAUUUUUGUUGUAUUUCGUGUUUCAUUUACGGGGUAAAUUUUUUUCUUUAUGUGUAUACAAAAGUCUAGUUCUGUUGGAAAAGCACAAGAUUAUAAAUACUUUGAUAAAAUGAUAGGAGAUUGGGUUUGAUUAUGAUUCAUUUGUUUAUUACUAUAUCGCUGGUUGUAUUUGCCUCUAAAGGAAAAAUUCAAGCAGCUUGUUUGGUGUUCGAUAAAAUGUCACAUAAAGUAUAUUGUAUUAAGAAGUGGGAUAUAUAACUGACGUGAUAUCUAUAAGUUGUUACUACAUUAUUGUAACUAUUUUUGAUCAGUGAAAAUCUUUUCAACUGUCUAAUUCUCCUUAGGUUCAUCAAAUCCAUGAUCCUUCCCCUGUUAAAUUUGCUUCUGAAGUGAUAACUUUUGAAGUUUCUCUACCAAAAAUAAUAUUUUGCUAUGAUAUUUUGUUACUAUCUGACCUUGUAUAUGAAAUCAUUUCGAAGAUAUUCAAAAGUUUAGAGAAAGCGCCUUUUCAUUUUUCCAUUUUUUGGUGGACAUCCACAUUUGAUGUUGUCCGUAUGUAAUGCAUAAAGCAUAAGCUCUCUAUUUUUAUCUUGCAGGUGGACACGAUGGAUCUUUAGUUCUUUUAUUUUCUUUUCCACAAAGUUCAAAGUUCGUCAUUUUAAUUUACAUCAGAUUCUAGUAAUGGUGAGUGGAGGCAGUGACAUCACUCCAUUAUUGAGAGCUUAUUUAUAUUGCUGGCUCAACAAGCUGCAAGGUACCAAAAGUUCUCCUUGAUGCUUUCAAGAAACCAGCGCAUCUCGGCAUGCUAGACCUUCUCCUUCCCUUUUCAAGAACCACCUAUGAUGUUUUGUUAUUACAGCUACGCAUUGAGUCAUAUGUAACAAGAGAGGUAGAACCUUUGAAAGACAACUAGAUGCUCCUAGAAAUGCUAUAGCUGAAGCCUAAUGCUUCAGAAAGACCAGUUUUUGCAAUUUUAUUUUAGACCAACUAGCUCUGGCUUGAAACAAAAAAAAGAAGAAUAAGGAAAUGGUGCAGAUUCAAAGCAAUGACAUCCCAACACUGAUGACUUCUUCUAGCCGGACUCAUGUGGAAGAAUGUCGAUAUGAUUAUGACGAGAUAUUUGUUAGACUAAAAAUGAUAUUGGAGUCAAAUGGUUUAUUCUUUCUCUUAUGUUGUCGCCACUUUGAAACCAUGGAUUAGAAGCUUUUGUUUGUUGUAAAUUUAAUGAAAUAGAUCUUUUUCGAA
Non-coding RNA from Nicotiana tabacum (common tobacco), 1373 nucleotides. The record is from RefSeq and is a predicted model, not a curated record. NCBI's taxonomy places the organism in Eukaryota, Viridiplantae, Streptophyta, Magnoliopsida, Solanales, Solanaceae.